UUCAUUAUUUUCCUUGGUUAAAGAGUUAAAGCACAGAAUUUGUUAUUGUGAUAACUGGACGUCAAAAGCGUUUCAGUUUUCUGCAGUUAAGUAACGUGAGCUUUACACAGUGCAUUGAUUAUAGGCAUCUGGUUGUAUUCUUAUGUUCCUGUUCUCGUUUAGAAGUUCUCUGCAUUGAAAAGUGCCAAAUGCGACUAGGCUUAUACAAGUUUCGAGCAUGAAAGUAAAGCUUGAUUGAUAUGUUGCUGCUUGGCUGCCUAGACUUUCUUUUUUUGAAGUUUGUUGAUGGCUGUACAGAUGUGAAUCUUUUUUUGUUCAUUCUUCUCAUGAAUUCUGAUGUGCACUUACCGAUGAAAUAUGAACCCAAAAUCCUGUACACGAAUCUUGUCGUGGUCUGAAAUGGAAUUCAGUACAAAAAGAGUAAUUAUGUCAACUCUCUCUUCUGUUUGCUCAUCUCUUCUGCUGCUUUCCGCUGUGACGCUUGCUAUGCAAAGUUUACUUUCCUAAAUUCGUCCAUUAUUUGUUCCCCCCCACACAGUACGAAAAGUAAUUUUUCUUCAAUAAGUCUUUAGAAAGUGCAUAACCAAUUGAAAAAAAAAAAAAAAAUAUUGUACGGUGUUCCCUAUAGUCUAUCAGGUACAUUGAAAUAUUUUAUUUUUGUCAUGUUUCUCCCUCCCUCACAAAUAUACGCAUUUAGCAGGGGAAAUGUAAGCUAUUUUGAUAUUAUUUCAUAUUUGACUUUGAAUUGAAUAUUGUUUAUCAGUCAUUUGCUACAAGAGCUAGUUUAUCUACUGAUUUCAUGUGUUUUUAUGUUUAACAGUAUAGUUCAAUUAAAUAUGUUUAGAUAAAAUACCACUUUUGAAGGUAAAGAAAUUUUGAAGCUCCCUCAAAUGUCUUAAAUGCAUAAAUUCAUUCAAGAAUACAUGAAUUGUCAUAGGUUUACAUUAGUAUCUAAUCAAUGAUACCAUAUCAGAAUCAAGAAAAUGGUUUAGUUUUAUGUUCACAAUAUAAGGUUAAUUAUGAAGCUGAAUCGAUGCCAAAAUGAUUUGUCAAGAGAUGCUAUUUUAUUGCAAAUUCUUGGCAUUACAGAAACUUUUAUUGGUCUGUAUUAUGAGGCUUUUCCAUAAAAUAUAUGGCCCACCAGCGGCCGAGCGGUAAAGACGCUGAACACUGGUAGUUCGGUUCGAGGUUCGAAUCCCGCGAACGAGUUGGCUGCAUGGGCGUUUUCGUGGUUUUCCC
Molecule: RNA transcript, 1239 nt
Organism: Stegodyphus dumicola
Lineage: Eukaryota; Metazoa; Arthropoda; Arachnida; Araneae; Eresidae
Gene name: E3 ubiquitin-protein ligase TRIM71-like
Source: RefSeq, a predicted model, not a curated record